UUGACCUCAAAUCAGGUAGGACUACCCGCUGAACUUAAGCAUAUCAAUAAGCGGAGGAAAAGAAACUAACAAGGAUUCCCUUAGUAACUGCGAGUGAAGAGGGAAAAGCUCAAAUUUAAAAUCUGGCAGUGUUUUGCUGUCCGAGUUGUAACCUAGAGAAGUGUAGCCUGUGCUGGACCGUGUACAAGUCUCCUGGAAUGGAGCAUCGCAGAGGGUGAGAAUCCCGUCUUUGACAUGGACUACCAGUGCAUUGUGGUUGCGCUCUCAACGAGUCGAGUUGUUUGGGAAUGCAGCUCUAAAUGGGUGGUAAAUUCCAUCUAAAGCUAAAUAUUGGCGAGAGACCGAUAGCGAACAAGUACCGUGAGGGAAAGAUGAAAAGAACUUUGGAAAGAGAGUUAAACAGUAUGUGAAAUUGUUGAAAGGGAAACGUUUGAAGUCAGUCGCGUUGGCUGGGGAUCAACCUGACCAUUUGGUUGGGUGUACUUCCUGGUUGAUGGGUCAACAUCAGUUUUGACUGCCAGAAAAAGGCAGAGGGAAUGUGGCACCUUUUAGGUGUGUUAUAGCUCUCUGUCAUAUAUGGUGGUUGGGACUGAGGAAAGCAGCGUGCCGAAAGGCCGGGUUUCGACCACGUUCACGCUGAGGAUGUUGGCAUAAUGGCUUUAAGCGACCCGUCUUGAAACACGGACCAAGGAGUCUAACAUGCAUGCGAGUGUUUGGGUGGAAAACCCUUACGCGUAAUGAAAGUGAAAGUUGAGAUCCCUGUCAUGGGGAGCAUCGACGCCCGGACCAGAACUUUUGGGACGGAUCUGCGGUAGAGCACGUAUGUUGGGACCCGAAAGAUGGU
This 844-nucleotide ribosomal RNA is filed under the name Amanita canescens. RNAcentral describes it as "partial 28S ribosomal RNA". It matches the Rfam family "Eukaryotic large subunit ribosomal RNA", at positions 1 to 827 of the family's 3401-position model. Lineage: Eukaryota; Fungi; Basidiomycota; Agaricomycetes; Agaricales; Amanitaceae. The record is from RNAcentral.